UACGGAGGGUGCGAGCGUUAUCCGGAUUCACUGGGUUUAAAGGGUGCGUAGGUGGGAAUGUAAGUCAGUGGUGAAAUCUCUGAGCUUAACUCAGAAACUGCCAUUGAUACUAUGUUUCUUGAAUUUUCUGGAGGUCAGCGGAAUAUGUCAUGUAGCGGUGAAAUGCUUAGAUAUGACACAGAACACCGAUUGCGAAGGCAGCUCACUAAACUGUAACUGACGCUGAGGCACGAAAGCGUGGGGAGCAAACAGG
Molecule: ribosomal RNA, 253 nt
Filed under: uncultured bacterium
Lineage: Bacteria
Description: partial 16S ribosomal RNA
Rfam family: Bacterial small subunit ribosomal RNA
Source: RNAcentral